RNAcentral lists this ribosomal RNA (765 nucleotides) under uncultured Streptococcus sp. RNAcentral describes it as "bacterial SSU rRNA". It matches the Rfam family "Bacterial small subunit ribosomal RNA", at positions 28 to 776 of the family's 1533-position model. The record is from RNAcentral. Lineage: Bacteria; Bacillati; Bacillota; Bacilli; Lactobacillales; Streptococcaceae.
GACGAACGCUGGCGGCGUGCCUAAUACAUGCAAGUAGAACGCUGAGGUUUGGUGUUUACACUAGACUGAUGAGUUGCGAACGGGUGAGUAACGCGUAGGUAACCUGCCUCAUAGCGGGGGAUAACUAUUGGAAACGAUAGCUAAUACCGCAUAAGAGUAAUUAACACAUGUUGGUUAUUUAAAAGGAGCAAUUGCUUCACUGUGAGAUGGACCUGCGUUGUAUUAGCUAGUUGGUGAGGUAAAGGCUCACCAAGGCGACGAUACAUAGCCGACCUGAGAGGGUGAUCGGCCACACUGGGACUGAGACACGGCCCAGACUCCUACGGGAGGCAGCAGUAGGGAAUCUUCGGCAAUGGACGGAAGUCUGACCGAGCAACGCCGCGUGAGUGAAGAAGGUUUUCGGAUCGUAAAGCUCUGUUGUUAGAGAAGAACGUUGGUAGGAGUGGAAAAUCUACCAAGUGACGGUAACUAACCAGAAAGGGACGGCUAACUACGUGCCAGCAGCCGCGGUAAUACGUAGGUCCCGAGCGUUGUCCGGAUUUAUUGGGCGUAAAGCGAGCGCAGGCGGUUAGAUAAGUCUGAAGUUAAAGGCUGUGGCUUAACCAUAGUACGCUUUGGAAACUGUUUAACUUGAGUGCAAGAGGGGAGAGUGGAAUUCCAUGUGUAGCGGUGAAAUGCGUAGAUAUAUGGAGGAACACCGGUGGCGAAAGCGGCUCUCUGGCUUGUAACUGACGCUGAGGCUCGAAAGCGUGGGGAGCAAACAGG